UACAGAGGUCCCAAGCGUUGUUCGGAUUCACUGGGCGUAAAGGGUGCGUAGGCGGUCGGGGUAAGUUUGAUGUGAAAUCUCCGGGCUUAACCCGGAAACUGCAUUGAAUACUAUUCGGCUUGAGGUCUGGAGGGGGGACUGGAAUUCUCGGUGUAGCAGUGAAAUGCGUAGAUAUCGAGAGGAACACCAGUGGCGAAGGCGAGUCCCUGGACAGGUCCUGACGCUGAGGCACGAAAGCUAGGGGAGCAAACAGG
RNAcentral lists this ribosomal RNA (254 nucleotides) under uncultured bacterium. RNAcentral's name for it is "partial 16S ribosomal RNA". It matches the Rfam family "Bacterial small subunit ribosomal RNA", at positions 524 to 776 of the family's 1533-position model. The record is from RNAcentral.